This 913-nucleotide ribosomal RNA is filed under the name uncultured Bacillota bacterium. RNAcentral's name for it is "bacterial SSU rRNA". It matches the Rfam family "Bacterial small subunit ribosomal RNA", at positions 1 to 917 of the family's 1533-position model. The record is from RNAcentral. Lineage: Bacteria; Bacillati; Bacillota.
UGGAUCCAGACUUUGAUUCUGGCUCAGGAUGAACGCUGGCGGCGUGCCUAACACAUGCAAGUCGAGCGGGAAAUUUUAAAAUGAAGCUUCGGUAGAUUUUUAAGAUGGAGAGCGGCGGACGGGUGAGUAACGCGUAGGCAACCUGCCCUUUGCAGAGGGAUAGCCAUUGGAAACGAUGAUUAAAACCUCAUAAUACUAAAUAGUCACAUGGCUGUUUGGUCAAAGAUUUAUCGGCAAAGGAUGGGCCUGCGUCUGAUUAGCUAGUUGGUGGGGUAACGGCCUACCAAGGCGACGAUCAGUAGCCGACCUGAGAGGGUGAUCGGCCACAUUGGAACUGAGACACGGUCCAAACUCCUACGGGAGGCAGCAGUGGGGAAUAUUGCACAAUGGGCGAAAGCCUGAUGCAGCAACGCCGCGUGAAGGAAGAAGGUCUUCGGAUCGUAAACUUCUGUCCUUGGGGAAGAUAAUGACGGUACCCUUGGAGGAAGCCCCGGCUAACUACGUGCCAGCAGCCGCGGUAAUACGUAGGGGGCAAGCGUUAUCCGGAAUUAUUGGGCGUAAAGAGUGCGUAGGUGGUUACUUAAGCGCGGGGUUUAAGGCAAUGGCUCAACCAUUGUUCGCCCUGCGAACUGGGUUACUUGAGUGCAGGAGAGGAAAGCGGAAUUCCUAGUGUAGCGGUGAAAUGCGUAGAUAUUAGGAGGAACACCAGUGGCGAAGGCGGCUUUCUGGACUGUUACUGACACUGAGGCACGAAAGUGUGGGGAGCAAACAGGAUUAGAUACCCUGGUAGUCCACACCGUAAACGAUGAGCACUAGGUGUCGGGGUCGCAAGACUUCGGUGCCGCAGUUAACGCAUUAAGUGCUCCGCCUGGGGAGUACGUACGCAAGUAUGCAACUCAAAGGAAUUGACGGA